CCUACGGGUGGCAGCAGUGAGGAAUAUUGGUCAAUGGUCGGGAGACUGAACCAGCCAAGCCGCGUGAGGGAGGAAGGUACAGAGUAUCGUAAACCUCUUUUGUCAGGGAACAAAGACUGGGACGCGUCCCCGGAUGAGGGUACCGGAAGAAAAAGCAUCGGCUAACUCCGUGCCAGCAGCCGCGGUAAUACGGAGGAUGCGAGCGUUAUCCGGAUUUAUUGGGCUUAAAGGGUGCGCAGGCGGUCUUUUAAGUCAGCGGUAAAAGCCCGGGGCUCAACCCCGGCCCGCCGUUGAAACUGGCCGUCUCGAGUUGGAGAGAAGUAUGCGGAAUGCGCGGUGUAGCGGUGAAAUGCAUAGAUAUCGCGCAGAACUCCGAUUGCGAAGGCAGCAUGCCGGCUCCACACUGACGCUGAGGCGCGAAAGCGUGGGUAUCGAACAGGAUUAGAUACCCUAGUAGUC
Molecule: ribosomal RNA, 459 nt
Filed under: uncultured bacterium
Lineage: Bacteria
Description: partial 16S ribosomal RNA
Rfam family: Bacterial small subunit ribosomal RNA
Source: RNAcentral